UGGGGGGAUCAAGUCCUCUGGGACUCUUCCGGAUUGAAGUUCGGAGGAAUACAUAUGCCUUUCAGAGUUUUACCGAACCUGAGUCCGGACAAACAUUCAUGCCCUUCGGGGCUCUGUCGGACUAAAAUCCGAAAAAAUAUUCUUGCCCUUCGGGGCUCUAUCAGAUUGAAAUCCAGAUUAAGAUAUUGUGUUCUACGGAGCUUUAUCAGACUGAAAUUCGAAUAAGCAUUCAUGUCCUUCAGGGCUCUAUCAGACUAAAAUCUAGAUUAAGAUAUCGUGUCCUACGAAACUUUACUGGAUUAGAAUCCGGAUU
This 313-nucleotide long non-coding RNA is filed under the name Elaeis guineensis (African oil palm). Its description in RNAcentral is "long non-coding RNA (EGUI_LNC016219)". The record is from RNAcentral. Lineage: Eukaryota; Viridiplantae; Streptophyta; Magnoliopsida; Arecales; Arecaceae.